UCCCGUUUCACAUACUCCUUGGACAAGACCCUCCCCCGGACAUACGCUGAACUGCUGGAGCGCUCGUACAAGUACAUGCGCACGGACGAAGGAGCUUCCGACCGGCGCCUGACUUAAGGCACGGGCCGAAAAGAAAAAUGGAAGAAAGGUCGGGCCCAUGCUAAACCCAGCAGGCCCUCCACCGAUAGACGGGUCUUGCCCCGACGAUGGAGUCCAAG
Molecule: long non-coding RNA, 218 nt
Filed under: Elaeis guineensis (African oil palm)
Lineage: Eukaryota; Viridiplantae; Streptophyta; Magnoliopsida; Arecales; Arecaceae
Description: long non-coding RNA (EGUI_LNC006980)
Source: RNAcentral